Pan troglodytes (chimpanzee) is the source of this 817-nucleotide long non-coding RNA. RefSeq lists it as uncharacterized. NCBI's taxonomy places the organism in Eukaryota, Metazoa, Chordata, Mammalia, Primates, Hominidae. The transcript has 2 exons. The record is from RefSeq and is a predicted model, not a curated record.
GCCAUAGUACCUGCCUGUGAGGAUGUGGUCUUGGUGAGGAGGCCAGACCAACACCCAUGAACGCAUCACAAACCACAAAAGACCAUAGAAAAGCAAGCAUCACACUGUGCAUGGAGUGCAAGCUGGUGCAGUGGGAGUCCCAAGGACAGGAGGUGGACAGGACAAGGGCUUCAGCGCAGAGGACCACCUGCACAACACCACCGUGCUCAAGGGCUAUCAGUGAAGGAAAAGGGAAGAAAGGAACAAAUGGCCUGUGGCGGGGUAAAAAACAACUCCAGCUCUUCCUACCAGGCCAACUUUUGUGACUGGCUCCCAGGCUGCCUUGCCUCUGGGGUUCAAGGGAGGCUUGUCUUCUGAGAGUCGGUAGGAUUAGACAAAAACUCCAGCUCUGUUCCAAGGGUCUAUCAAUAUCCUCAUAGCUGGGUAUGUUAAGUGCUGGUAUAUUUACCCUGUUUAAUCAUGGUUCCAUCCCUCUGAAGAAAAAGCUGAUUACAGCCACUUGGGGAGAGAGAAAUAACAGUGACCUUCUGCAGAACCAGCGAUAACUUAUUCCUUAUAAGGAGUGGAUAAACAAAAUGCCCCACACUCAUCACUCAGGAAUGUGCACCUCUUUGUGUGUUCUUCCUAACAGUACCUAGUAAUUGGGCUCAACACCUCAGUGCAGCAUUUCCUGUCAUCUCUGGGACAGCAGAGUGGAGGUGACCUCCCUUCCCACUCAUUGGAGAGAACAUUAAUUGCUAGAGGUAAUCCUAACCAUAAAGUUUCUGGAUCAGAGUUGUAAUUGCAUUGAAUACGAAUAAAAGGCUGUUAAAAGGAA